UGCACAAGAGCGUGCAAGGACACGGGGUGCACAAGGAUGCACGAGGUCAUGUGAGGACACGGGGUGCACGAGGGCGUGCAAGGACACAGGGUGCACAAGAGCACACGAGGCUGUACAAGGACCUGGGGUGCACGAGGGCGUGCAAGGAUGCGGGGUGCACAAGGGCGCACGAGGGCGUGCAAGGACACGGGACGCACAAGAGUGCACAAGGCUGCACGAGGACACGGGGUGCACGAGGGUGCACAAGGACACACGAGGGUGCACGAGGGUGCACAAGGAUAAACGUGUGCACGAGGACAGGGGGUGCACGGGGCACAAGCGGCGUUGCACGAGGAUUCACGAGGACUCACGAGGACUCACGAGGAUGCACGAGGACGAAGGGGGUCACACG
Molecule: long non-coding RNA, 391 nt
Filed under: Anas platyrhynchos platyrhynchos (common mallard)
Lineage: Eukaryota; Metazoa; Chordata; Aves; Anseriformes; Anatidae
Description: lncRNA (ENSAPLG00000024448.1)
Source: RNAcentral